AGUGACAGGCAAUGAAAGAUACUUCUUAGAAAAUGUUGAUUCAUCUGGAAUAAAGCACUGCUAUGAGGUAAUACUGAAGGUGUGGUAGAGAAAGAGAAGCUAUGGAUAAUUUCUGCCCUUCAUUAAAACUUUCCAACAGAUAUUGUUGAAAGUUUCUAUAUUAUGUGUGAUAUUUUACAUCAUUCCAUCUUUUAUAUAUUACUGGAUAUUUUGGAAUUUGGGAAUAAAACAGAUACCUCUAUCACAUUUUUUUCAGCAUGGAAGUUUGGCUUGAACAUUAGAAGAAAUAUGUGCAUCUAGACCAGCUUUUGCUUCUUAAAGGCUGAGAGUGAUGAGGAAUCGAAAGGUAACAUAGACUCUGAUCAGAUGACAGACUGCAUCCGACACUUCUGUCUGCA
This is a long non-coding RNA of Mus caroli (Ryukyu mouse), 398 nucleotides long. RefSeq lists it as uncharacterized. The record is from RefSeq and is a predicted model, not a curated record. NCBI's taxonomy places the organism in Eukaryota, Metazoa, Chordata, Mammalia, Rodentia, Muridae.